GUGCCAGCAGCCGCGGUAAUACGUAUGGCGCAAGCGUUAUCCGGAAUUAUUGGGCGUAAAGAGCUCGUAGGCGGUUUGUCGCGUCUGCUGUGAAAACCCGAGGCUCAACCUCGGGCCUGCAGUGGGUACGGGCAGACUAGAGUGCGGUAGGGGAGAUUGGAACUCCUGGUGUAGCGGUGGAAUGCGCAGAUAUCAGGAAGAACACCGAUGGCGAAGGCAGAUCUCUGGGCCGUAACUGACGCUGAGGAGCGAAAGGGUGGGGAGCAAACAGGCUUAGAUACCCUGGUAGUCCACCCCGUAAACGUUGGGAACUAGUUGUGGGGUCCAUUCCACGGAUUCCGUGACGCAGCUAACGCAUUAAGUUCCCCGCCUGGGGAGUACGGCCGCAAGGCUAAAACUCAAAGGAAUUGACGGGGACCCGCACAAGCGGCGGAGCAUGCGGAUUAAUUCGAUGCAACGCGAAGAACCUUACCAAGGCUUGACAUAUAGAGGAAACGUCUGGAAACAGUCGCCCCGCAAGGUCUCUAUACGGGUGGUGCAUGGUUGUCGUCAGCUCGUGUCGUGAGAUGUUGGGUUAAGUCCCGCAACGAGCGCAACCCUCGUUCUAUGUUGCCAGCACGUAAUGGUGGGAACUCAUGGGAUACUGCCGGGGUCAACUCGGAGGAAGGUGGGGAUGACGUCAAAUCAUCAUGCCCCUUAUGUCUUGGGCUUCACGCAUGCUACAAUGGCCGGUACAAAGGGCUGCAAUACCGUAAGGUGGAGCGAAUCCCAAAAAGCCGGUCCCAGUUCGGAUUGAGUCUGCACUCGACCUCAUGAAGUCGGAGUCGCUAGUAAUCGCAGAUCAGCAACGCUGCGGUG
RNAcentral lists this ribosomal RNA (858 nucleotides) under uncultured bacterium. RNAcentral's name for it is "bacterial SSU rRNA". It matches the Rfam family "Bacterial small subunit ribosomal RNA", at positions 505 to 1364 of the family's 1533-position model. The record is from RNAcentral.